This 460-nucleotide ribosomal RNA is filed under the name uncultured bacterium. Its description in RNAcentral is "partial 16S ribosomal RNA". It matches the Rfam family "Bacterial small subunit ribosomal RNA", at positions 338 to 795 of the family's 1533-position model. The record is from RNAcentral.
CCUACGGGCGGCAGCAGUGAGGAAUAUUGGUCAAUGGACGAGAGUCUGAACCAGCCAAGUAGCGUGAAGGAUGACUGACCUAUGGGUUGUAAACUUCUUUUAUAUGGGAAUAAAGUGUGACACGUGUGGCAUUUUGUAUGUACCAUAUGAAUAAGCAUCGGCUAACUCCGUGCCAGCAGCCGCGGUAAUACGGAGGAUGCGAGCGUUAUCCGGAUUUAUUGGGUUUAAAGGGUGCGUAGGUGGUUUAUUAAGUCAGUGGUGAAAGUUUGCGGCUCAACCGUAAAAUUGCAGUUGAAACUGGCAGUCUUGAGUACAGUAGAGGUAGGCGGAAUUCGUGGUGUAGCGGUGAAAUGCUUAGAUAUCACGCAGAACUCCGAUUGCGAAGGCAGCUCACUAAACUACAACUGACACUGAGGCUCGAAAGUGUGGGUAUCAAACAGGAUUAGAUACCCCUGUAGUC